CCCUUAGAUGUCCUGGGCCGCACGCGCGCUACACUGAUGCAUUCAACGAGUCUAAAACCUGCUCUGAUAGGGGUGGGUAAUCUUUUGAAUGUGCAUCGUGAUUGGGAUAGAUGGUUGCAAUUUUUCAUCUUCAACGAGGAAUGCCUAGUAAACGCAAGUCAUCAGCUUGCAUUGAUUACGUCCCUGCCCUUUGUACACACCGCCCGUCGCUCCUACCGAUUGAAUGAUCCGAUGAAUAUCAUGGAUUGAGGAUGCAAGCAGGUUCGCCUGUCUUCAUCUUCGAGAAGUGAAGUAAAUCUUAUCAUUUAGAGGAAGGAGAAGUCGUAACA
This 329-nucleotide ribosomal RNA is filed under the name uncultured eukaryote. RNAcentral describes it as "partial 18S ribosomal RNA". It matches the Rfam family "Eukaryotic small subunit ribosomal RNA", at positions 1470 to 1796 of the family's 1831-position model. The record is from RNAcentral.